Molecule: long non-coding RNA, 513 nt
Filed under: Nicotiana tabacum (common tobacco)
Lineage: Eukaryota; Viridiplantae; Streptophyta; Magnoliopsida; Solanales; Solanaceae
Description: long non-coding RNA (NTAB_LNC005876)
Source: RNAcentral
AAUCCUGAUUAAAGGGAAAAGUUCAGUUUAGGGUUUAAAACCCUAAUCCUGAUUAAAGGGAAAAGUUCAGUUUAGGGUUUAAAACCUUAAUGAUGACUAAAGGGAAGAGUUUAGUUUAGUGUUUAAAACCCUAAUGCUGACUAAAGGAAAAGAGUUCAGUUUAGAGUUUAAAACCCUAAUGCUGACUGAAUGGAAAAGAGUUUAGUUUAGGGUUUAAAACCCUAAUGCUGACUGAAGGAAAAAAGUUCAGUUUAGGGUUUAAAACCCCAAUGCUGACUGAAGGAAAGAGUUCAGUUUAGGGUUUAAAACCCUAAUGCUGACUGAAGGAAAGAGUUCAGUUUAGGGUUUAAAACCCUAAUGCUGACUACAGGAAAGAGUUCAGUUUAGGGUUUAAAACCCUAAUGUUGACUGAAGGAAAAGAGUUCAGUUUAGGGUUUAAAACCCUAAUGCUGACUACAAGAAAGAGUUCAGUUUAGGGUUUAAAACCCCAAUGCUGACUGAAGGGAAAAGUUC